This 20-nucleotide non-coding RNA is filed under the name Arabidopsis thaliana (thale cress). The record is from RNAcentral. Lineage: Eukaryota; Viridiplantae; Streptophyta; Magnoliopsida; Brassicales; Brassicaceae.
UUAACUAGGCGAACAACGAA